AUUGAACGCUGGCGGCAGGCCUAACACAUGCAAGUCGAGCGGAUGAAGGGAGCUUGCUCCUGGAUUCAGCGGCGGACGGGUGAGUAAUGCCUAGGAAUCUGCCUGGUAGUGGGGGAUAACGUCCGGAAACGGGCGCUAAUACCGCAUACGUCCUGAGGGAGAAAGUGGGGGAUCUUCGGACCUCACGCUAUCAGAUGAGCCUAGGUCGGAUUAGCUAGUUGGUGGGGUAAAUGCCUACCAAGCCGACGAUCCGUAACUGGUCUGAGAGGAUGAUCAGUCACACGGGAACUGAGACACGGUCCAGACUCCUACGGGAGGCAGCAGUGGGGAAUAUUGGACAAUGGGCGAAAGCCUGAUCCAGCCAUGCCGAGUGUGUGAAGAAGGUCUUCGGAUUGUAAAGCACUUUAAGUUGGGAGGAAGGGCAGUAAGUUAAUACCUUGCUGUUUUGACGUUACCAACAGAAUAAGCACCGGCUAACUUCGUG
Molecule: ribosomal RNA, 484 nt
Filed under: uncultured bacterium
Lineage: Bacteria
Description: partial 16S ribosomal RNA
Rfam family: Bacterial small subunit ribosomal RNA
Source: RNAcentral